GAUGAAGAACGCAGCGAAAUGCGAUAAGUAAUGUGAAUUGCAGAAUUCAGUGAAUCAUCGAAUCUUUGAACGCACCUUGCGCCCUUUGGCUAUUCCGAAGGGCAUGCCUGUUUGAGUAUCAUGAACACCUCAACUCUCAUGGUUUGCCAUGAUGAGCUUGGACUCUGGGGGUCUUGCUGGCCUAUGGUCAGCUCCUCUCAAAUAAAUCAGCUUGCCAGUGUUUGGUGGCAUCACAGGUGUGAUAACUAUCUACGCUUGUGGUUUUCCAUCAGGUAACCUUCAGUGAUGGAGGUUCGCUGGAGCUCAUAAAUGUCCCUCCUAAGCGAGGACAGCUUUUUGAACGUUUGAUCUCAAAUCAGGUAGGACUACCCGCUGAACUUAAGCAUAUCAAUAAGCGGAGGA
This 402-nucleotide unclassified non-coding RNA is filed under the name soil metagenome. Its description in RNAcentral is "partial contains 5.8S ribosomal RNA, internal transcribed spacer 2, and large subunit ribosomal RNA". The stretch from base 1 to 121 matches the Rfam family "5.8S ribosomal RNA", at positions 35 to 154 of the family's 154-position model. The record is from RNAcentral.